This 721-nucleotide ribosomal RNA is filed under the name uncultured bacterium. RNAcentral describes it as "bacterial SSU rRNA". It matches the Rfam family "Bacterial small subunit ribosomal RNA", at positions 104 to 811 of the family's 1533-position model. The record is from RNAcentral.
GGGUGAGUAACACGUAGGGAACCUGCCCGCGCACCGGGAAUACGCUCUGGAAACGGAGAACAAAUCCCGAUGUACAGGAAGGAGGCAUCUUCUUUCUGUGGAACAUCCUUUAGGGGAUGGGGCGCGGAUGGACCUGCGGUGCAUUAGUUGGUUGGCGGGGUAAAGGCCCACCAAGACGAUGAUGCAUAGCCGGCCUGAGAGGGCGGACGGCCACAUUGGGACUGAGACACGGCCCAGACUCCUGCGGGAGGCAGCAGUAGGGAAUUUUCGUCAAUGGGCGCAAGCCUGAACGAGCGAUGCCGCGUGAGUGAAGAAGGCCUUCGGGUCGUAAAGCUCUGUUGCGGGGGAAAAAAGGCAGCAUCAGGAAAUGGGUGCUGACUGAUGGUGCCCCGCCAGAAAGUCACGGCUAACUACGUGCCAGCAGCCGCGGUAAUACGUAGGUGGCGAGCGUUAUCCGGAAUGAUUGGGCGUAAAGGGUGCGCAGGCGGUCCUGCAAGUCUGGAGUGAAACGCAUGAGCUCAACUCAUGCAUGGCUUUGGAAACUGGAGGACUGGAGAGCAGGAGAGGGCGGUGGAACUCCAUGUGUAGCGGUAAAAUGCGUAGAUAUAUGGAAGAACACCAGUGGCGAAGGCGGCCGCCUGGCCUGUUGCUGACGCUGAGGCACGAAAGCGUGGGGAGCAAAUAGGAUUAGAUACCCUAGUAGUCCACGCCGUAAACGAAG